UUCUCCAUCGCCAUCUCCCCACAAGUCUCCGCUCCACCCUUCUGGUUCCCAACUCUCGGGCAACUCCAUGGUAAAAGAGCGGACCUGUUUCGGGUGAGCUUGGCGUGGUUUUUUGUUACCUUUUUCUCGUACCAAUUGAGAAAUGUAAGAAACUGAUUUUUCUAACAUUCCUUGCGCUUUUUCUCUGUCUGAUUCAAGCGUUUUAAUUUUUUCCUCUAAUUCAGUUAUCUUUUUAUCUUUUAAUAACUCUGAAGCACAUUCUUUAUCCAAAGCCUUUGAUCUUUCUUUCCAAGCUUCAGCACAAAUCCACAACAUCUCACGAAUCCCCUUCAGCGGGGCUUUCUCUUUUAUCUCCACCUGGCUGAGUAUAUCCUUAAUCAGCGGUGGAGAAGCCGAAGGAAAUGCUCCCAUCCACGGCUUGGGGCGUCCCCCGUACCGUCUAAGGAGUUUCCCUAUUUCCCUAAACUCAUUGCUUUCCCAUCCGGAAACGCAAUCCUCCUUAGGAGACACUUCCUCUCCUUUCACAGUUUUUCUAACAAAACAACAAGCCAUUUUUCUAGCAAAACAAGCCAUUUCUGAAUGUAUUCUCCAGUGAUCCUGCCGACAACGCCAAAAAUGUUUUGAAACACUUCUGAUACUCAAUUUGAAUGAAUAUCAAGUUUUAUAAAGGAUCGUUGGAGAUAGGCACUCAGAAAUAACGACAAGACACUUCUGGCUACCAACAAUAGGCACUUUAUUGGUCCCACACAGAAAUGAUAACACAGUUCAAACAAGUUGUAUGAAGCUAAAGAACUCUUACCGUGUGCCAGUAGGGUGGAGAGCCAACACCCUCAGCAGAGUGAGCUUCAAUACGAGCUGGGCGUCUCGUACUUUGACCCACAGCGGACUCUGCUGAGGAGCAUCGCUCCCCUCCUUUUAUCCUCUAAAGCAGGGGUGUCCAAACUUUUUGCCAAGGGGGCCAGAUUUUAUGUGUCACAAAACCUUUGACUCGAACAACAGGGAAAUGAACAAGCAAUACACAUAUCCACAACUAAAAGGAUCAUUUGAAAUAUGACAUAUCAGUCAAUAUAAACACGGAGUGAUGUCUUGUUAACUCGUGAGUGAUGCCCUCUAGUGUCUAAAUGCUAUUACUCAUUUGGUGAAUGCUAUUACUCAUUUAGCCACUAGAGGGAAGCAGUACUCUAUGAAACAUCACUCACCAGUCUACGAGACCUCAGUCAAUGCAACACGUGUUCCAUUGUGCCCAACCUGCGGGCCAGACGGCACUGAUUUUAUGACAGGGGCCGAGGGCCGGAUGAAAUUCGACCGCGG
Molecule: long non-coding RNA, 1311 nt
Organism: Hippocampus zosterae (dwarf seahorse)
Lineage: Eukaryota; Metazoa; Chordata; Actinopteri; Syngnathiformes; Syngnathidae
Exons: 3
Source: RefSeq, a predicted model, not a curated record